Molecule: long non-coding RNA, 490 nt
Filed under: Homo sapiens (human)
Lineage: Eukaryota; Metazoa; Chordata; Mammalia; Primates; Hominidae
Description: HSALNT0315056
Source: RNAcentral
ACUCCGCUAGUUUUCCUGGGAGUCACGGUGCUUGGUCGCGUUAUUGGGUCCGGGAAUUCAGAGAAUCAGGGCCAGCUGAUACUUCACCCUCUUAUCCCAACGCCAACCCUUGAUAGAUGCGAACCAGUCGUAUUUCCUUUGUGGGAAAGGAGUCGCUUUUUAAAGACGUGCACUGGCCAUCUAGGGAGGAGCUUUUACUUCAACUCAAAAUAGGACUGGAGCUGACUGGUGACCUGGCGCUCGAUGGACGGAAACGCUGUUCUUGCCGCUUCGGCAGCUCCCAUACUGGUGGGAGAGGCAAACUUGCAGUCUGCUCAUCUUAAGAUGGUGAAUGUUGAGAUAGGGUUGCUCCCGAAAAGCCGAGAAGAGGAGCCGUUUGACCCAACUUGAGGGUGAUCCGAUAGACACUCUUUAGGGCGUCUGCAGAGUGGGUGCGCGUGGAGACAGUCAAUAAGAGAAAAUCGUAAAUACAGAUGGUAUUCUAAAUCUA